UGCCCCGACACAGGCAGCCGACGUUGCGCGGAGCUAAUCCGCACCUGCCCGGCCCCGAUUCCCAGCGCGGGACACAGGCAGAAGCGGAGCGGUCCCGCAACCCCCUCCCCCAUAAGCCAUACGUCAUUUGUCUUAAAUGCUGGCCUCCGCGGGGGGGGCUGUGUUCUCUAUGCGGCCAUUCAGCGCCUAGCACCGAUCCUCAGCGAUCUCCGUGUUCCUGUCUAAAGAGCCAAAGGCAGAGGUGCAAGUAAGCCGAAAUCAAUGCUGCCCCACUGCCUCUCCAUAUUCACCACUGAGCCCAAGAUAUGACCGAUACCUAGAUAUCACAGUGACUGGCUUAUUAGACCUUUAUGAUGGCAGACACUGCACUCAGCAACAACAGAUGCAGAGGAGUCAGAAACUGAAGUAGUGGAUGAAGUACUGGUGCAGCCAUCAUCAUUCAGCACUUGACAAGGGAAAACAAGAG
Molecule: long non-coding RNA, 466 nt
Organism: Gopherus evgoodei (Goodes thornscrub tortoise)
Lineage: Eukaryota; Metazoa; Chordata; Testudines; Testudinidae
Exons: 3
Source: RefSeq, a predicted model, not a curated record